Molecule: ribosomal RNA, 254 nt
Filed under: uncultured bacterium
Lineage: Bacteria
Description: partial 16S ribosomal RNA
Rfam family: Bacterial small subunit ribosomal RNA
Source: RNAcentral
UACGGGGGGAGCAAGCGUUGUUCGGAUUUACUGGGCGUAAAGGGCGCGUAGGCGGUCAGCACAAGUCAGUUGUGAAAUCUCCGGGCUUAACUCGGAAAGGUCAACUGAUACUGUGCGACUAAAGUGCAGAAGGGGCAACUGGAAUUCUCGGUGUAGCGGUGAAAUGCGUAGAUAUCGAGAGGAACACCUGCGGCGAAGGCGGGUUGCUGGGCUGACACUGACGCUAAUGCGCGAAAGCCAGGGGAGCGAACGGG